RNAcentral lists this ribosomal RNA (495 nucleotides) under uncultured bacterium. Its description in RNAcentral is "partial 16S ribosomal RNA". It matches the Rfam family "Bacterial small subunit ribosomal RNA", at positions 28 to 507 of the family's 1533-position model. The record is from RNAcentral.
GACGAACGCUGGCGGCGUGCCUAAUACAUGCAAGUAGAACGCUGAAGGAGGAGCUUGCUCUUCUGGAUGAGUUGCGAACGGGUGAGUAACGCGUAGGUAACCUGCCUGGUAGCGGGGGAUAACUAUUGGAAACGAUAGCUAAUACCGCAUAAGAGUAGAUGUUGCAUGACAUUUGCUUAAAAGGUGCAAUUGCAUCACUACCAGAUGGACCUGCGUUGUAUUAGCUAGUUGGUGGGGUAACGGCUCACCAAGGCGACGAUACAUAGCCGACCUGAGAGGGUGAUCGGCCACACUGGGACUGAGACACGGCCCAGACUCCUACGGGAGGCAGCAGUAGGGAAUCUUCGGCAAUGGACGGAAGUCUGACCGAGCAACGCCGCGUGAGUGAAGAAGGGUGUCGGAUCGUAAAGCUCUGUUGUAAGAGAAGAACGAGUGUGAGAGUGGAAAGUUCACACUGUGACGGUAUCUUACCAGAAAGGGACGGCUAACUACGUG